GCGAGCAUAGCUCAGUUGGUAGAGCGCCACCUUCCCAAGGUGGAAGUCGAGAGUUCGAGACUCUCUGCUCGCUCCA
This 76-nucleotide transfer RNA is filed under the name Opitutales bacterium. RNAcentral describes it as "tRNA-Gly". It matches the Rfam family "tRNA". From Rfam's summary of the family: Transfer RNA (tRNA) molecules are approximately 80 nucleotides in length. Their secondary structure includes four short double-helical elements and three loops (D, anti-codon, and T loops). RNAcentral also lists the same sequence under 1 other name. The record is from RNAcentral. Lineage: Bacteria; Pseudomonadati; Verrucomicrobiota; Opitutia; Opitutales.